UUUUUGCUGAUGAGCAAUUUGGUUUUCGCCAUGGGCCUUCAACCACUCAUCAGUUAUUAAGAGUUACGAAUUUAAUUAGGCUCAACAAAUCUGAAGGUAUUCGACUGGAGUUGUUCUUCUUGAUAUAGAGAAAAUGUGUUUGUGUGCUUUCAGUGUUUGGCAUGAAGGUUUGAUUAUAAAAUUGAUGAAUUUAAAUUUUCCUCUGUACAUUACUAAACUGAUCCAAAAUUAUUUAUCAGAUCGCUCACUGCAGGUAAACUAUCAGAAUUCUAAAUCUGAUAGAUUACCUGUAAGAGCUGGUGUUCCCCAAGGCAGCAUACUUGGGCCCCUAUUGUAUAACAUUUUUACUUCUAACUUACCUGAUUUACCACCAGGGUGUCAAAAAUCUUUGUUUGCAGAUGACACAGGUCUCUCAGCAAAAGGGUGAAGCCUUCGUGUCAUUUGUAGUAGAUUGCAAAAAAGUUUGGAUAUUUUCUCCACUUACUUGUGAAAAUGAAAAAUUUCCCCGAAUGCUUCCAAAACUCGGCUUAUAAUUUUCCCACAUAAGCCGAGAGCUUCUUAUUUGAAACCUUCUAGCAAACAUAGUGUCACUAUGAAUGGGGUUCCAAUUAAUUGGUCUAGCGAAGCUAAAUAUUUAUUUAGGACUUCUGCUAGAUCAAAAAUUAACUUUUAAAAGUCACAUUGAAGGCAAUCAAGCCAAAUGUAACAAAUAUAUAAGUGUCUAUAUCCACUUAUAAACAGAAAAUCAAAACUUUGUCUUAAAAACAAACUUUUGAUUUACAAACAAAUUUUUAGACCAGCCAUGUUGUAUGCUGUGCCAUCAGAAAUACCAGAAAGAAGGCACUUGAGAGGAUGCAACAGAACUGGUAGAUUCAUGUUCAGAUCUCGAUCAUCGGAGCAUCAUGGGCGAGCUAAUUCGCCUGCGAUUCUGCAGAAUGGCAUUGUUUUACUCAUUCGCCGAAAAAUAAUCUCGCGCCAAAACCCAAUCGAAGCGUAUUCUAUGUAUAUGCAUGGAUUCAUUAUCCAUUGUUUUAAGCUAACAAAGCUAAAUUGAUUAAUUGAAAGAAGAAUAAUCUGAAGAGAUCAUUUAUGACCUCAUCUAAAACUGUUCAUCCUAUUUUAGUUUGUUCACCCCCCAAUAAUUUCUCCGUAUCGUACUUUAAUAAAACUUUUUUACUUUCUCCAACAGCGAGCAACAACGAGCGCAACGUGUUUUCAAAGCACAGCAACCACUCGAUCUGCCCGGCGCUCGUAACAAACUGAUGGGAUUCGGAAUGCAGCUGCUGGAUAGUGUCGAUCCCAAUCCGGACAACAUGGUGUGUGCGGGAAUCAUCCAUACCCAGGCGCACAAGGUGGGCUGCCUCUUGCGCCUCGAGCCGAACAAACAAGCACAGAUGUUCCGUUUGACGAUUCGCUCCAGUUUAGAGAACGUCACACAGGAAAUAUGCAAUCUACUGGUAGACCAAUUUUAAGCAAACGAGAGAAACGCUCCACCGUUUCCGAUUCCUUUCGUUGUAAAUUAUGCUGGUACGUAGUGAUGUUGAUUAAUAUUAGUAGGAAACUAUAGUGUUUUCGUUCUUCGCCAUACGGGAGAAGUCAUGCAAGAGCAUACACAACACAAACCGCAGCAGCAACAAUAAUGAGAAAAAUAAGAAUAAUAAUAUAUUAUUGGCAUAGUCUGGAGUAAUGUUUCGCAGGUCCCUAUAGUGUUGUAAAACAUUCGUAUCGUGGGACGAGUAUGUGUGCAAACGAGACGUAGAAGGUCGUUGAUAAGCAACUUACGAAGAUUAUGUAUGUUCCGAAAACUUGUUGUAAUAUUGCAAUCUGUUUGCAAAACACAGCCAACGAUAGACGGAGCGCAAGAAAAGCGGAUGAAUCGUUCGUAUUGUUUGACGCUGAUUUGUCGUGAGGGGCGAUAACGAUUUAUCGUGGUUUCCUUACUCUCGCUCUAUCGUUUGUCUGCCACAAAGUAUCAAAGAAUUAGGCUGAAAGUGUAAUUUGAAAAUGAGAAAUAAUUGAAAUCCUAUAUUAUUACGAUUAUAAAUCUGAUCAUUUUUGUUGGAAUUUGAUUACAAAGAAUGUAUUCUGGGCUACCGAGGACGAGCUGAUUUAGUUUUAUCUGUAUUGAAAUUGCAAUCUAAAAAUCUCAUUUAAUGCACAGACAUACUACGAACGGUAGAAACUAAGGAAUAUGUAGGGGACAAAUAGACUAAAAAUAGUAAAAAAAUAGAAAUUGUGGAACGCAAGAAACCAAGAUAUUUGCGAAAACGAUGAAACACACGUAGAUAGAUUUCAUCGUGAAUCAAGGCUGAAAUUCACAGUAAAAAAAAUGGAACUCAAAGAUCAUCACACAUCUGCACGUUAUACAUGUAUUGCUAUUGUUCGCGCGUUUCAUUUCGUUCUGUAUUGGGAAAUCCAGAAGAAGUAUUGCACAAAGGCAUAUGGUGCAGCAGACAAAUACGUGUUAUGAAUUAAGAAAAACGAUGAGUCACGGUGUCAAAGUCACGAAUAUUACAUCCGGAACUUUUUUUAAAAUAUUUUUUGUACUCCCAGAGGACCAGAUCUCACAAACCUUGUUACUGGGAUCAUCUGAGAUAAUAUCCAUCUACGAGUCAUUUAUAAGCGCAAUAAUUGAACAUUUGGGAAAGGUACCUACUGCUCAAAGAAACAGAGUAAUUAUGUACUGCUUCGGUUGGUUUUGUUCUACUAUUGGAGAAGAAAACAAUAUUUGCUCAAUCCUCAAUCCUAACGCCUCUUUCUAACACGAGAAGUCCUUCCAAGUUUUAGUGUUUCGAAUAAUACCAUCAGGCCAAACGUGGUACAAUCAAUUAAUAUACCAACUGGUUUUGGUAGAUUUUUCGUUUAUUAUUGAAGCGAACAAUAAAAUUGAGUGUCUUUGCUUGUGUUGAAAACAUAAAUUUAAAUGGUCAUUUCUUAUUUGUCGACUGGCAUUUAUAGCACCAAAUACCUACUAUUGAAAUACCUGGACUUGCGAAAAUUUUCGAAAAAUUAGCAAUUGUAUAUUCUUUUUAGCCUAAUGAAUAAGCUACUAUUGAAAUUAUAUGCAAGCUAGGAAUACUCAUGACUUUGGCACCGUGCUUCUAGUUUGCAGUCGAAACUCCAAAACAGCGUUAGUUCGUUAUUAUCAGUGCUUAGUUGAAAUCCACUUUUCCUAGCCAGUUUGUCAACGAAUUCGUACCAAUGCCGUCGUACUACACGUAAUUAUAGAAGCAUAAGCUUAUGUUUUUCAAUGUUAUAAUCCUUCCCUCUAUUAUUGUAUAGUUCAUGAAUACACCAUUACUAAUAUAUUACGUUGAACUAUUUGUAUAUCAUGCAAUCCUGAUAAAGCCAAGAAAAACACAAAAUAUAAUGAAAUUAACAACCGACAAAUUCGUAGAGAAAUGUAUGUACAAUAUUUGCUGAAAUCUUUCUUUCGAAUGAUCUAAAUAGACCCAACCAUUCAUUCACUGUCUUUCCGACGAUUGCAAGAAAAGGUGAAAAUUUAUGGCAAAUAUAUAGCGCAAGGUAACAGAUUCGUUUCCCAACCCCCUCGAUAUGUAAUAGAUCAACAAGCAGAAUUUAAUAUACAUUCAAUAUUCUCUAUUGAUUAUUAAUAUAAAUCUACUGAUCCCUACAAAAACUAUAGAAUAGAGAAUAACUCAAAAUUGCAGAAGGGGCGAUCAAUACCCAGACAGUUGUUUGUGGGUCAAAAAAAUGGAAUAAUACACAAACAGAACAUCUUAGCAGCGGAUGUAAGAAUAAAUACCCUAAACUUAUAUUGAAAUAAUAUUGAGAUAAAUCAGAUGAGGAAAAUAUACAAAAGUUAUUGAAAAUUAAA
Long non-coding RNA from Armigeres subalbatus, 3838 nucleotides. RefSeq lists it as uncharacterized. The record is from RefSeq and is a predicted model, not a curated record. The transcript is spliced from 2 exons. NCBI's taxonomy places the organism in Eukaryota, Metazoa, Arthropoda, Insecta, Diptera, Culicidae.